RNAcentral lists this long non-coding RNA (475 nucleotides) under Fukomys damarensis (Damara mole-rat). Its description in RNAcentral is "lncRNA (ENSFDAG00000024678.1)". Lineage: Eukaryota; Metazoa; Chordata; Mammalia; Rodentia; Bathyergidae. The record is from RNAcentral.
GUUUAAUUUGUAACAGGUUGCUGUCAUAAUCUCCCGACAUUUCAAGGCCAUGAAAUGUACAUGAUUGGUUUAAGUGCUCAGAAAACACACAUAUGCUCUGAAAAAAAUUUCAUUUUAAUAUUUGCCGUGGAAUAGAGUGAGAAUCUGAGGGCAUUCGAGAAUAAAUUAAAGGAAAAAAAAAAGAGACAUGUUCUGCAUUUGUAAAAACAGACACCUAGAUGAUGGUGAAAUCGCUAAACGGAAAGGACGUGGGCCUCUAAAUUUUGUGGACCAGGUCAGGAACAUACCCUUCCUCAGGAUGCUGUGGACUAUGAUGUGUGAUACAACUACCUCAGUUUCAGCCUGUAGAGAAACUGAAAGUUGUCACUCUAAUCCUUACAACAACAACAACAACAACAACAACAACAACAACAACAAUUCUGGGGGAAAUAAAAAUGAACUUUUCUUAGAUAUAUCAGAAAAGUGAGUUUGUGGG